AAUUUACCUAUUUAUGGGUACUUCUUUUACCCAUAUAUGGGUAUUGUAUACAACACCUAAAUUAUGGGUGAAAUAAACUGAUAAUAUCGGUAAUAUUUACUUAUAUUAUUAGUAAGUCGAGUUUACGCAAAUUUAGGUGAAUGCAUUUCACCCAUAUUUGGAUGAAAAACGGAACUUAACCGAUUCCGUCAGAAUCAAAUUGAUAACCAAACAAACCUGACGUCGAUUUGAAGGAAGAAUCCGCCACCUGCUUCCGAAGCUGCUGUUGUUUUAUUUAUUUUUACCGGUGCUGCAAUAAUACCUCCUUUCGCUGUUAGUUUCGGUGCUACAAUUUCUUCCCGAUCGAGACUUGCUUUCCGAUUUUGCUGCUUUUGUUUGUUCAAAAGAACUUUGAGCAUGCUGCGGUUAAUAGCUAUUGCGGUUAAACGAUCGAAUCACUGCUGGAUAAUUAUAAAGAGGAGAGUCAAGAAAAUCUGGAAUCCCGAUGUGAGCUGACGGUUCCGUAGUAGGCUGAUGUGAUGACCAUUCCAAGAAGCAACUGUAAAUAGAUCCAGCGGAGUCAUCGGGGAAUCGCGAGUGAAAACGUAAACGUUAGCGAGAAUGGAACUAAGAAUGAAUGCCAUUCCGAGAGCUGAUUUUCUUUGCCGCCAUUCGAUGCCAAAGUCCGGACCGUAGAUCUUCAUUUAAAAAAUCACAGUACCUGUAGCAGCGGACCUUAUGUUUCGCACUUGGUUUCGCCGUACCCUUUCCCCUUUCGCCUUCUUCCAGAAUUCUUGCUGUCGUUCUGGAAAAACCUCCGACAACGAAUAGGGUAAUAAAAGCCGAUAGG
Molecule: long non-coding RNA, 829 nt
Organism: Armigeres subalbatus
Lineage: Eukaryota; Metazoa; Arthropoda; Insecta; Diptera; Culicidae
Exons: 4
Source: RefSeq, a predicted model, not a curated record